This 342-nucleotide long non-coding RNA is filed under the name Homo sapiens (human). RNAcentral describes it as "non-protein coding LINC00635:36". Lineage: Eukaryota; Metazoa; Chordata; Mammalia; Primates; Hominidae. The record is from RNAcentral.
GAGUGCUUGCUCUGAGUGAGGCUCAUCUUCAAAUCUGAAUGACCACAAGGAGAUUUGAUUAUACAUGUGAACACCUCAGAAGGCACAGCCCACCCAGAAGGCAGACAGAAGAAGCUGCCAGGAAGACUGUGAAAUCUUCAUGCCCAAGGAUCCCUAAAAUUAGGAGCAACAACCACUUGGCUCAGACGGUUUAUGGAGGCAAAGGUUUGGAUGGGAUUAGAGAUUUCUAAAUGUGAGUUCGUGUCCUCUGCCAGACCACCUUACUUCCACCAUUCCUCAGCAAAUCAAGAAAAACAGGAGAAAAGACAUGCCUUUCCAUAAGUUAAAUCUAUUCUGUUUUAA